AACGUAGGAGACAAACGUUAUCCGGAGUUACUGGGCGUAAGGGGCGUGUAGGUGGUUUCGUAAGUCUGGCGUGAAAUUUUUCGGCUUAACCGGGAAAGGUCGUCGGAUACUGCGGAACUAGAGGACGGUAGAGGCGUGUGGAAUUCCGGGUGUAGUGGUGAAAUGCGUAGAGAUCCGGAGGAACACCAGUGGCGAAGGCGACACGCUGGGCCGUACCUGACACUGAUGCGCGACAGCAUGGGGAGCAAACAGG
This 253-nucleotide ribosomal RNA is filed under the name uncultured bacterium. RNAcentral's name for it is "partial 16S ribosomal RNA". It matches the Rfam family "Bacterial small subunit ribosomal RNA", at positions 524 to 776 of the family's 1533-position model. The record is from RNAcentral.